AUGAACGCUGGCGGCGUGCCUAAUACAUGCAAGUCGAGCGAACAGACGGGGAGCUUGCUCCUCUGACGUUAGCGGCGGACGGGUGAGUAACACGUGGAUAACCUACCUAUAAGACUGGGAUAACUUCGGGAAACCGGAGCUAAUACCGGAUAAUAUAUUGAACCGCAUGGUUCAAUAGUGAAAGACGGUUUUGCUGUCACUUAUAGAUGGAUCCGCGCCGCAUUAGCUAGUUGGUAAGGUAACGGCUUACCAAGGCAACGAUGCGUAGCCGACCUGAGAGGGUGAUCGGCCACACUGGAACUGAGACACGGUCCAGACUCCUACGGGAGGCAGCAGUAGGGAAUCUUCCGCAAUGGGCGAAAGCUUGACGGAGCAACGCCGCGUGAGUGAUGAAGGUCUUCGGAUCGUAAAACUCUGUUAUUAGGGAAGAACAAAUGUGUAAGUAACUAUGCACGUCUUGACGGUACCUAAUCAGAAAGCCACGGCUAACUACGUG
RNAcentral lists this ribosomal RNA (496 nucleotides) under uncultured bacterium. Its description in RNAcentral is "partial 16S ribosomal RNA". It matches the Rfam family "Bacterial small subunit ribosomal RNA", at positions 29 to 507 of the family's 1533-position model. The record is from RNAcentral.